This 518-nucleotide ribosomal RNA is filed under the name uncultured bacterium. RNAcentral describes it as "bacterial SSU rRNA". It matches the Rfam family "Bacterial small subunit ribosomal RNA", at positions 28 to 535 of the family's 1533-position model. The record is from RNAcentral.
GAUGAACGCUAGCGGGAGGCUUAACACAUGCAAGUCGAGGGGCAGCAUAGGGUAGCAAUACUCUGAUGGCGACCGGCAAACGGGUGAGUAACGCGUAUGCAACCUACCCUGUACAGGGGGAUAACCCGGAGAAAUUCGGACUAAUAUCCCGUAAUAAUAUCCGGAGGCAUCUUUGGAUAUUUAAAGUUUCGACGGUACGGGAUGGGCAUGCGUAACAUUAGCUGGUUGGUAAGGUAACGGCUUACCAAGGCUAUGAUGUUUAGGGGUCCUGAGAGGGUGGUCCCCCACACUGGUACUGAGACACGGGACCAGACUCCUACGGGAGGCAGCAGUGAGGAAUAUUGGUCAAUGGGCGCAAGCCUGAACCAGCCAUCCCGCGUGCAGGAAGACGGCCCUAGUGGGUUGUAAACUGUCUUUUCCAGGGAGAGAAACUUACGCACGUGUUGCGUGACUGACGGUACCCUGGGAAUAAGCAUCGGCUAACUCCGUGCCAGCAGCCGCGGUAAAAGUGUGUGUAC